This 59-nucleotide transfer RNA is filed under the name Cnemidophorus lemniscatus. RNAcentral describes it as "tRNA-Ser". Lineage: Eukaryota; Metazoa; Chordata; Lepidosauria; Squamata; Teiidae. The record is from RNAcentral.
AAGAGUGUUCUUAACACUGCUAACGUUAUUAUCCUAGGCUUACACACCUAGCACUCUUA